This 253-nucleotide ribosomal RNA is filed under the name uncultured bacterium. RNAcentral's name for it is "partial 16S ribosomal RNA". It matches the Rfam family "Bacterial small subunit ribosomal RNA", at positions 524 to 776 of the family's 1533-position model. The record is from RNAcentral.
UACGAAGGGUGCAAGCGUUACUCGGAAUUACUGGGCGUAAAGGGCGCGUAGGCGGUACUUCAAGUCAGGCGUGAAAGCCCCGGGCUCAACCUGGGAACCGCGCUUGAGACUGGAGAACUAGAGUUCGGGAGAGGAUGGUGGAAUUCCCAGUGUAGAGGUGAAAUUCGUAGAUAUUGGGAAGAACACCGAUGGCGAAGGCAGCCAUCUGGACCGACACUGACGCUGAGGCGCGAAAGCGUGGGGAGCAAACAGG